GGUUAAUAAUAUUAUUAUUUACCGAUAAUGUCGCAGCAGUAUCGGUGGAAUGUAUGAAGCAGGCAAUGGUAAAAUGUGAUGGUAUUAAAGAUUCUACAGCAAUGGCAAUUUGUUUUCUUGAUUACUACAAACAACAUCAUUGUAACCCAUAAUAAUAUACAGUUAUGUAUGCAAUAUAUUUAAAUAUA
Molecule: long non-coding RNA, 188 nt
Organism: Ceratosolen solmsi marchali
Lineage: Eukaryota; Metazoa; Arthropoda; Insecta; Hymenoptera; Agaonidae
Exons: 3
Source: RefSeq, a predicted model, not a curated record